Molecule: small nuclear RNA, 103 nt
Filed under: Nomascus leucogenys (northern white-cheeked gibbon)
Lineage: Eukaryota; Metazoa; Chordata; Mammalia; Primates; Hylobatidae
Source: RNAcentral
GUGCUCACUUCAGCAGCACAUAUACUAAAAACGUGGAAUACACAGAUUAGCCUGGCUGCUGAGCAAGGAUGACAUACAAAUUCAUGAAACGUUCCAUUAAAAA